Molecule: long non-coding RNA, 418 nt
Organism: Zingiber officinale
Lineage: Eukaryota; Viridiplantae; Streptophyta; Magnoliopsida; Zingiberales; Zingiberaceae
Exons: 2
Source: RefSeq, a predicted model, not a curated record
AACUCUUCAUGAAAUGAAGAAAGAGAGUUAUCUAUCUAUCUAUUUAUCUAUUUAGAUAUUGAUUGAGUAAGCUGAAGAUGUAAGCAGCGAUAUUGGUGAGGUUCAAUCCGAAGAUUGACUUACAAACAAUGAAGAAGAGGAAGGAAUACUGCACUUUUGAUCAGAAAAGGAAGGUAUAGUUCAUUUUGAAUUCCAGCAACUUAGGUAUGGCUUAACUUUUCUGAUUUUUAUUUAUUUAUUUUCAAUUAUAUAGGAAGCAAUAGUUCAUUUUCAGAAUCGUGAUUGUGCUAACUUACAGAUAGACUAGAAUCAACUCUGCCACAAUCUCCAUUCUUGUGCUUCUCAUCCAAACAUGUUCUUUUGAACCAGCUCGUGAACUUCAAGGGGAGGAAAAGAUAAAUUUUCAGGUCUGGAAAAU